GAUGAACGCUGGCGGCGUGCCUAAUACAUGCCAGUCGAGCGAACAGACGAGGAGCUUGCUCCUCUGACGUUAGCGGCGGACGGGUGAGUAACACGUGGAUAACCUACCUAUAAGACUGGGAUAACUUCGGGAAACCGGAGCUUAUACCGGAUAAUAUAUUGAACCGCAUGGUUCAAUAGUGAAAGACGGUUUUGCUGUCACUUAUAGAUGGAUCCGCGCCGUAUUAGCUAGUUGGUAAGGUAACGGCUUACCAAGGCAACGAUGCGUAGCCGACCUGAGAGGGUGAUCGGCCACACUGGAGCUGAGACACGGUCCAGACGCCUGCGGGAGGCAGCAGUAGGGAAUCUUCCGCAAUGGGCGAGAGCCUGACGGAGCAACGCCGCGUGAGUGAUGAAGGUCUUCGGAUCGUAAAGCUCUGUUAUUAGUGAAGAACAAAUGUGUAAGUAACUAUGCACGUCUUGACGGUACCUAAUCAGAAAGCCACGGCUAACUACGUG
This 497-nucleotide ribosomal RNA is filed under the name uncultured bacterium. Its description in RNAcentral is "partial 16S ribosomal RNA". It matches the Rfam family "Bacterial small subunit ribosomal RNA", at positions 28 to 507 of the family's 1533-position model. The record is from RNAcentral.